CUAAGCUGGGUCUGCAACACUAUUCCUCUCUAUGGGCUUGAGCUUCUGCCCACCACAACAGUGUCAAAUGCAGAAUCAGCGUAAGGAAUGCCUUUCUGAGCAACCCGAGACAUGCAAACCAUCAGCUGGCGAUUUCCCUGGGCGGUACACAAUUCUCGUCUGCAGAGCUCCAAACAAGUAUUUUGAAAGUAUCAGGACAGAGAAAGAACAAGAAAUGAAAGCAAAUUAAGAAUGACUGAUUUCAAACAGCAGCACAAAAAUAAAGCACUAAACACGACA
Long non-coding RNA from Harpia harpyja (harpy eagle), 279 nucleotides. RefSeq lists it as uncharacterized. NCBI's taxonomy places the organism in Eukaryota, Metazoa, Chordata, Aves, Accipitriformes, Accipitridae. The record is from RefSeq and is a predicted model, not a curated record. The transcript has 2 exons.